Molecule: ribosomal RNA, 253 nt
Filed under: uncultured bacterium
Lineage: Bacteria
Description: partial 16S ribosomal RNA
Rfam family: Archaeal small subunit ribosomal RNA
Source: RNAcentral
UACCAGCACCCCGAGUGGUCGGGACGUUUAUUGGGCCUAAAGCAUCCGUAGCCGGUUCUACAAGUCUUCCGUUAAAUCCAACUGCUUAACAGGUGGGCUGCGGAAGAUACUAUAGAGCUAGGAGGCGGGAGAGGCAAGCGGUACUCGAGGGGUAGGGGUAAAAUCCUGUAAUCUUUCGGGGAGGACCAGUGGCGAAGGCGUCACGCUAGAACGGCUCCGACAGUGAGGGACGAAGCCCUGGGGCGCAAACCGG